GCUUAAUCCUAAACACAGAUACCUUUAUACAAUGUUAUCCGCCAGAGAACUACAAGCGAAAAGCUAGAAACUCCAAGGACUUGGCGGUGCUUUAAACCAACCUAGAGGAGCCUGUCCUAUAAUCGAUACCCCACGUUAAACCUUACCCCCCUUAGCCAACCAGCCUAUAUACCGCCGUCGUCAGCCUACCUUGUGAGAGAAAAAAAGUAAGCAAAGCAGUCAUUAACUAAAACGUCAGGUCAAGGUGUAGCACACGGGAGGGAAGAGAUGGGCUACAUUUUCUAGAAUGAACAUACGAACAGUGUGUUGAAACACGCAUUUAAAGGUGGAUUUAGUAGUAAAUUAGAUAAGAAAAACUACUUGAAACAUGCUCUGAAGCGCGC
RNAcentral lists this ribosomal RNA (383 nucleotides) under Lipinia longiceps. RNAcentral's name for it is "partial small subunit ribosomal RNA". It matches the Rfam family "Bacterial small subunit ribosomal RNA", at positions 794 to 1384 of the family's 1533-position model. The record is from RNAcentral. Lineage: Eukaryota; Metazoa; Chordata; Lepidosauria; Squamata; Scincidae.